GGUAGAAUGGCUGAGAUAUUAGGCAAUAGAUUGUAAAUUUAUUUAGGAGGGCAUCCUCUUCUACCA
Molecule: transfer RNA, 66 nt
Filed under: Mesonemoura tritaenia
Lineage: Eukaryota; Metazoa; Arthropoda; Insecta; Plecoptera; Nemouridae
Description: tRNA-Tyr
Rfam family: tRNA
About the family: Transfer RNA (tRNA) molecules are approximately 80 nucleotides in length. Their secondary structure includes four short double-helical elements and three loops (D, anti-codon, and T loops).
Source: RNAcentral